RNAcentral lists this ribosomal RNA (608 nucleotides) under Trichoderma atroviride. Its description in RNAcentral is "eukaryotic LSU rRNA". The stretch from base 216 to 369 matches the Rfam family "5.8S ribosomal RNA". The record is from RNAcentral. Lineage: Eukaryota; Fungi; Ascomycota; Sordariomycetes; Hypocreales; Hypocreaceae.
UCCGUUGGUGAACCAGCGGAGGGAUCAUUACCGAGUUUACAACUCCCAAACCCAAUGUGAACCAUACCAAACUGUUGCCUCGGCGGGGUCACGCCCCGGGUGCGUCGCAGCCCCGGAACCAGGCGCCCGCCGGAGGGACCAACCAAACUCUUUUCUGUAGUCCCCUCGCGGACGUUAUUUCUUACAGCUCUGAGCAAAAAUUCAAAAUGAAUCAAAACUUUCAACAACGGAUCUCUUGGUUCUGGCAUCGAUGAAGAACGCAGCGAAAUGCGAUAAGUAAUGUGAAUUGCAGAAUUCAGUGAAUCAUCGAAUCUUUGAACGCACAUUGCGCCCGCCAGUAUUCUGGCGGGCAUGCCUGUCCGAGCGUCAUUUCAACCCUCGAACCCCUCCGGGGGGUCGGCGUUGGGGACCUCGGGAGCCCCUAAGACGGGAUCCCGGCCCCGAAAUACAGUGGCGGUCUCGCCGCAGCCUCUCCUGCGCAGUAGUUUGCACAACUCGCACCGGGAGCGCGGCGCGUCCACGUCCGUAAAACACCCAACUUCUGAAAUGUUGACCUCGGAUCAGGUAGGAAUACCCGCUGAACUUAAGCAUAUCAAUAAGCGGAGGAA